CCUACGGGAGGCAGCAGUGAGGAAUAUUGGUCAAUGGACGAGAGUCUGAACCAGCCAAGUAGCGUGAAAGAUGACUGCCCUAUGGGUUGUAAACUUCUUUUAUAAAGGAAUAAAACGAGGCACGUGUGCCUUUUUGCAUGUACUUUAUGAAUAAGAAUCGGCUAACUCCGUGCCAGCAGCCGCGGUAAUACGGAGGAUCCGAGCGUUAUCCGGAUUUAUUGGGUUUAAAGGGAGCGUAGAUGGGUUGUUAAGUCAGUUGUGAAAGUUUGCGGCUCAACCGUAAAAUUGCAAUUGAUACUGGCAGUCGUGAGUACAGUUGAGGUAGGCGGAAUUCGUGGUGUAGCGGUGAAAUGCUUAGAUAUCACGAAGAACCCCGAUUGCGAAGGCAGCUUACUAAACUGUGACUGACAUUGAUGCUCGAAAGUGUGGGUAUCAAACAGGAUUAGAUACCCCAGUAGUC
This 460-nucleotide ribosomal RNA is filed under the name uncultured bacterium. Its description in RNAcentral is "partial 16S ribosomal RNA". It matches the Rfam family "Bacterial small subunit ribosomal RNA", at positions 338 to 795 of the family's 1533-position model. The record is from RNAcentral.